RNAcentral lists this ribosomal RNA (383 nucleotides) under uncultured Glomeromycotina. Its description in RNAcentral is "SSU rRNA". It matches the Rfam family "Eukaryotic small subunit ribosomal RNA", at positions 569 to 957 of the family's 1831-position model. The record is from RNAcentral. Lineage: Eukaryota; Fungi; Glomeromycota.
AGCAGCCGCGGUAAUUCCAGCUCCAAUAGCGUAUAUUAAAGUUGUUGCAGUUAAAAAGCUCGUAGUUGAAUUUCGGGAUCAAUUUAUCGGUCGCGCCUAUGGUAUGAACUGGUACAAUUGGUUUCUCCCUUCUGACGAAGCAUGAUGUCAUUAAUUUGGUGUCGUGGGGAAUCAGGACUGUUACUUUGAAAAAUUAGAGUGUUUAAAGCAAGCAUUAGCUUGAAUACAUUAGCAUGGAAUAAUGAAAUAGGACGUUUGAUCCUAUUUCGUUGGUUUCUAGGAUCGACGUAAUGAUUAAUAGGGAUAGUUGGGGGCAUUAGUAUUCAAUUGUCAGAGGUGAAAUUCUUGGAUUUAUUGAAGACUAACUACUGCGAAAGCAUUUG